AGUGAACGCUGGCGGUAGGCCUAAUACAUGCAAGUCGAACGGCAGCACAGUAAGAUCUUGCUCUUACGGGUGGCGAGUGGCGGACGGGUGAGGAAUACAUCGGAAUCCACUUUUUCGUGGGGGACAACGGAGGGAAACUUACGCUAAUACCGCAUACGACCUACGGGUGAAAGCAGGGGAUCUUCGGACCUUGCGCGAUUGAAUGAGACGAUGUCGGAAUAGGUAGUUGGCGGGGUAAAGGCCCACCAAGGCGACGAUCCGUAGCUGAGCUGAGAGGAAGAUCAGCCCACCCUGAACUUAGACACGGGCCCGACUCCUAACGGGAGCAGCAGUAGGGAAUUUUUGGCAAAGGGCGCCAGCCUGCACCAGCCCAACCGGGUGGGUUAUGAAGGGCUUUCGGUUUUAAAACCCUGUUUUUAGGGAAAGAAAACCGGGUGGUUAACUCCCGCUGUUCUGACGGUACCCAAAGAAUAAGCAACGGCUAACUUCGUG
RNAcentral lists this ribosomal RNA (492 nucleotides) under uncultured bacterium. RNAcentral's name for it is "partial 16S ribosomal RNA". It matches the Rfam family "Bacterial small subunit ribosomal RNA", at positions 29 to 507 of the family's 1533-position model. The record is from RNAcentral.